Molecule: unclassified non-coding RNA, 484 nt
Filed under: Hevea brasiliensis (rubber tree)
Lineage: Eukaryota; Viridiplantae; Streptophyta; Magnoliopsida; Malpighiales; Euphorbiaceae
Source: RNAcentral
AAGAUAAAAUUGGAUGUGGGCUUGGCUCAAUAAUGGUAAGCAUCAGUUUGCAUUAUUUAUAUUGGAGUUCUCAAUGUUUGACACGUCAUUGCAAUCUACUUCACUUACUUUUGUGUUAUUGAGCAUUUCUCUUUGCAGCUGUAAUCUGGAAUUACACAUAAUCUCAGUUUGCUUUUAGAUCAAUAUACAAGCUUCAUGAAGAUAUGGUAUCCAAUUGAGUCUUCUCCCAAUUAGAACUUUGGCUAUUUAGAAUUUCCAUGUAGUUUUUCUUGUUGUGAUUGCUUACCCUGGUGGGUACCCAUUAUGUUUGCUAAAGGGCACUAGUGGGAAAUAUAUGUACACAUGUGCACACACACACACAUCAUUGUGUUUGUAACUGAUUGUAGGCUGAUUUACUUGCUUCUUACUUAAAAAUGAAGAUUUUAACAUUCUGCAUCAUCAAAACAUCCAAGUAUCCCAUAUUUCUUGGUCAUAAUACUCGAGA